UGGGGAAUAUUGGACAAUGGGCGAAAGCCUGAUCCAGCCAUGCCGCGUGUGUGAAGAAGGUCUUCGGAUUGUAAAGCACUUUAAGUUGGGAGGAAGGGCAGUUACCUAAUACGUAUCUGUUUUGACGUUACCGACAGAAUAAGCACCGGCUAACUCUGUGCCAGCAGCCGCGGUAAUACAGAGGGUGCAAGCGUUAAUCGGAAUUACUGGACGUAAAGCGCGCGUAGGUGGUUUGUUAAGUUGGAUGUGAAAUCCCCGGGCUCAACCUGGGAACUGCAUUCAAAACUGACAAGCUAGAGUAUGGUAGAGGGUGGUGGAAUUUCCUGUGUAGCGGUGAAAUGCGUAGAUAUAGGAAGGAACACCAGUGGCGAAGGCGACCACCUGGACUGAUACUGACACUGAGGUGCGAAAGCGUGGGGAGCAAACAGGAUUAGAUACCCCCGUAGUCCCUGAGCGGGCUGGCAAGGCGCAU
This 472-nucleotide ribosomal RNA is filed under the name uncultured bacterium. RNAcentral's name for it is "bacterial SSU rRNA". It matches the Rfam family "Bacterial small subunit ribosomal RNA", at positions 355 to 825 of the family's 1533-position model. The record is from RNAcentral.